RNAcentral lists this small nucleolar RNA (78 nucleotides) under Sus scrofa (pig). RNAcentral's name for it is "Small nucleolar RNA SNORD83 (ENSSSCG00005032065.1)". It matches the Rfam family "Small nucleolar RNA SNORD83". From Rfam's summary of the family: U83 (SNORD83) and U84 (SNORD84) are members of the C/D class of snoRNA which contain the C (UGAUGA) and D (CUGA) box motifs. The record is from RNAcentral. Lineage: Eukaryota; Metazoa; Chordata; Mammalia; Artiodactyla; Suidae.
GCCACAUGAUGUUUUCAUUUUGAAAAGUGAGAGCUUUGCGCAGUGACGACUUUUAUCUCCUUGACUGAACUGAUGGCU